GACGAACGCUGGCGGCGUGCUUAACACAUGCAAGUCGAACGGAAAGGCCCUGCUUUUGUGGGGUGCUCGAGUGGCGAACGGGUGAGUAACACGUGAGUAACCUGCCCUUGACUUUGGGAUAACUUCAGGAAACUGGGGCUAAUACCGGAUAGGAGCUCCUGCUGCAUGGUGGGGGUUGGAAAGUUUCGGCGGUUGGGGAUGGACUCGCGGCUUAUCAGCUUGUUGGUGGGGUAGUGGCUUACCAAGGCUUUGACGGGUAGCCGGCCUGAGAGGGUGACCGGCCACAUUGGGACUGAGAUACGGACCAGACUCCUACGGGAGGCAGCAGUGGGGAAUAUUGCACAAUGGGCGGAAGCCUGAUGAAGCAACGCCGCGUGCGGGAUGACGGCCUGCGGGGUGUAAACCGCUUUCGCCUGUGACGAAGCGUGAGUGACGGUAAUGGGUAAAGAAGCACCGGCUAACUACGUG
RNAcentral lists this ribosomal RNA (468 nucleotides) under uncultured bacterium. Its description in RNAcentral is "partial 16S ribosomal RNA". It matches the Rfam family "Bacterial small subunit ribosomal RNA", at positions 28 to 507 of the family's 1533-position model. The record is from RNAcentral.